Molecule: ribosomal RNA, 259 nt
Filed under: uncultured bacterium
Lineage: Bacteria
Description: partial 16S ribosomal RNA
Rfam family: Bacterial small subunit ribosomal RNA
Source: RNAcentral
CACGUAGGGGGCAAGCGUUGUCCGGAUUUAUUGGGCGUAAAGAGCUUGUAGGCGGUUUGUCGCGUCUGCUGUGAAAAUCCGGGGCUCAACUCCGGACUUGCAGUGGGUACGGGCAGACUAGAGUGUGGUAGGGGAGACGUGGAAUUCCGUGGUGUAGACGGUGAAAUGCGCAGAUAGUCAGGAAGAACACCCGUGGCUAAGGCGGCUCUCUAGUACGGUAACUGGACGCUGAGACGGCGAAAGCGUGGGGAGCGAACAG